AAUUAUGCAACGCAGCGAUUUUCAAUAAAUCGUGCUGCACGCAGAAGAAGAUUUUUACGGAGGCACCCGACGUCGACGGAGGAAUUUGCCGUUUUACUCGCCGACUACAACUCACGUCCAUCGACAAGCAUUUCCUUCACCCUGCCAGGCAGUGUUAUCAACACUGAGGACCUCUCUACAGAACUGACUCGGAGGAGACCCAGUUCCAUUCUUGGUUCCCUCCCCCCCCGACCCCUCUGUGAAGGUGUGAUCAAACAGAUGAGUGUGACCUCCAGAGGGACCCCAAACGUCGCUCAUACCAUAUAGUACAUAACCACUCAAUGCAAAAUGGAGCAAGGGCAGAGAAAAAGGGGUCAAAGACCAAAACGGAACCAGGCAGCCUUUUUCAGUACCAAAAAAGAAAAAGGAAAAAAGGAAGAAAAAAAAAAACAGCAAUCGAAAUGCUCCUUCGUUUCCAUAAGUAGUUCCAUAUUACAUCUUGAUGUAUGCGCACAAACAUUCACACAACACACGCUCAGACGGAAGCUCAUGCACCUUCAAUAGCAAUAAAAGGACAAAACAAGGCCGUGAUGAUUUUUUUUUUUU
Molecule: long non-coding RNA, 585 nt
Organism: Lampris incognitus (smalleye Pacific opah)
Lineage: Eukaryota; Metazoa; Chordata; Actinopteri; Lampriformes; Lampridae
Exons: 2
Source: RefSeq, a predicted model, not a curated record